Non-coding RNA from Phoenix dactylifera (date palm), 3315 nucleotides. NCBI's taxonomy places the organism in Eukaryota, Viridiplantae, Streptophyta, Magnoliopsida, Arecales, Arecaceae. The record is from RefSeq and is a predicted model, not a curated record.
UUCUUUCUUUCCUUUCACUUUUCCGUUUUCUUCAUCUAUCCUUUCUUUUUUCCUUUCAUCUUUCUUCUUCUCUCCCUGCAUGGAUAGGUUUCGAAGUCCCGACCUCGUCCCGAUACUGUUUUCUCAUAGGAAUAGGAUGGGGCGGUCGGGAUGCCUCUAGUCUUGCCAGAACUUAAAACCUUAGGACUACAUACCAAAUUAAAUCUUUGGUAAAAGAUUUAACAAGUCCCAAAUAGAUUAUGGGCCAUCCAAAAUUCCAAAUCAAAGCUCUAUACCGAUAAUUUUAAUCCAAAACUAUGCCUUAAGUGGGUGCCAUGAUGCCCAUUGUGCUAAUGUUUAGAAUACAUGAUAGGACAUCUAAAGUGAGAAUCCACUUUGUUGAUCAUCAUCUACAUAUCUUAAAAUUUCUAUAUAUCAAAAUUAAAUUACUUGUGAUGCUCAGAUCAUAACAAAACCUUGUAUCAUGUCAUUAAAGCCAUCCAUUUUGCAUCCACUUGAUGCAUGUUAGAUGCUACCAAAACAUAUUUUUCUGGUUUCUAGGCAUUUCUAGUAGUGAGAUCACAAUCAAUGGUGUGAAACACCAAUUUGAAAGGACUAUGAUUGAUUUUGAUCAUUAAAUAUUUUAUCAAUAAUUUAAUGGAGGCCCCAUAAGCCACAAUGAGUGGAUGUCACUUCAUUGUUAUGGGAGUGACUAUUGUUUUAUGUCGAAUAUAGAGCUGAUAUGUUGAGCCCCAAAAGGAUACUAAGGCUGGGAAGUAAGUUCAUAUCAAAUCGACCGGUCUUUAAAAUGUGGUGCAUGAGGCUGCAUAUGCCUCUGCGAUCCUUUGACCACACCGCUAACUUAUAUGCAGUUUCUGUAUAUAGUUUGGCUAAUAUGGGCCGAAAAGGCAGUUUGCCUAGCACUUUGCACAUAUAUGCAGCAAGAUUAGCAUUGUGCAGUUGCAUACGUUGAUCGCAUUUGUGGGCCCUUGAACAUGGUGCCACUACAUAAUCUAGUUGGAUAUGUGUUUCACAUGGGAUGGCUACAUGUACAUUAAUAUCAAUAUGUUAAUUAUGCUAGAUGUUAUUCCUGUUAAUAUUGCUAUUAUUUGUAAACACCAUUGCUACAUUGUUAUAUUUAACAUAUUUUAUUUAUUUUUAAAUAUUUAAAAUACUAACCGCACAUGUAGCCUGCAUGAUACAUCUGUGCUAUGCAAUCCCUUGACCACCCUCAUACCCCAGACGCCUUUUAAAACAUUGAAAUAGACCAUAUCAAAACAAUAGCCGCUAAAUUAAUGUGGCCCUGCAGCCUACAUGAUACAUUGGUGUUAUGCAAUCCCUUGACCGCCCGCAUACCUCAGCCGUCUUUCAAAACAUUGAAAUGGACCAUGUCAAAACAAUAGUUGCUAAAUUAAUGUGCCCUUGGGCCCACAUCUUUUGCCAAUGAAGGUGUAGUGGAAGUGUAUCAAGACAAAGAGAGGAAGGAAAGAAAGAUCAGGAUGAAGAAAGGGAAAUCCGGUGGGUUCCCACUAUCUGAUAUGAUUUUUUAGCAUAUAACAAUACAAGAGAUUCUUAAUCCAAUUGGAGCUCAACUUUGAUGAGAAGGAACAAAAUAUGAUUUUAUGGGAGUUUUGGAUAGCCAAAGAAUGACUAAUGCUAGAGGAACUGCACAAGAUCCAAAAGGAGAACUCUUGUCCAGAAUUAUAAAUAUCCAAUAAUUUUAGACAAUUAGUUUAAACAUCAGCUCUGAAACAUUAUCUGUCUGCUCUCUAAGCUCGUAGUUUAUUUGAGCAAUUAUCACUCCAUUUAAACACAAAGCAAGAUGCCUUCGAACGUGCAAUGGGGCUGUGAGGCCCAAGCCGAAGGAGAUGCCGGAAUCCUCGGCUGCGCCUUCUCGAGCAUAACGGGGGCGAGAUCCGCGGCGGCCAUUUGAAUGGCCGAUGAACCCGCGCAACCGUCGCUGAAAUUGCGGCGGUGAAUGAGCAUAGCCGUUUGUAAAAUUUCCCCCCAUUGACCGCAUCUGAGAUCCACCAAGCACUCCUCCUUCUCCACCCCACUCUGCCUCUAACCCCUUUCUUCUCCUCCGCUGCUAGGGUUUGGAGCUCGCACCAGUGCCGCCGGAGAGAGUAGCCGCAGCUUCUCCUUAUAGCAAGGUACAGUGAAAUUGUCAUCUGGUUCUAGAGAUUCGUGAGCGAAUCAAGGUAAGUAACCCUGGCACUGAUCUUAUUAAUUUAAAAAUCACUGUUUAAUCGUAAGAAUAAAAUAAUGAAAAAUAUAUUUGUUAUGAUAUAUUUUCUUAAAAAUAGGAUCAAGCAUAUGAUUGCAUGUGAUUAAUGAGUUUGAUUAAAUUGCAUCCAUCAUAAAUAUUUCAAUAUAAAUUAUGGUUAUGAUAAAUUGCAUGAAAAUAAGAUUUGUGGCAUGAUUAUGAAUUUUAUACAUUACGAUGAAUUAUGGUUAUGAUAAAUUGCAUGAAAAUGACAUUUGUGGCAUGAUCAUGAAUUUUAUACAUUACGAUGCCAUUUGUCAUUUUCUAACCUAUGUAUGAAAGUAUGACUUAUGAAAAAGAAUAAUGAUUUAUGAACUCUCAGAUAGCUAUGCCCACCUCUAGAAAUAGAGGUCAGUCGACCCCUCUGGAGCUAGCAUCCAACGAAUAUGGCCCUCUGCCAACAGGUUAAAGUUGGUAACGAAUAAGAAUAAGUUAUAAAACUUGUCGACUACGAAUACGAACCCUGUCACGGGAUUAUAGUGACCAUAGCAGCACACCCGUCUGAGAGUAAGAUUUAUAAAGUAUGGAUGAAUGGCAACAUUUUUAUAAGGCUUGAAUUAUCAUGUUUAUGAACUUGCAUGGUUGAAGCAUAUUUUGUUUUUUUUUAAACCUGUUUGAAUAGUUUAUCUAUGAAAUGCUUUAUUUUCUGUUAAGUUCUUCAAAUGAUGCAUUGGCAUGAGAAAAAUUAUGCUUGAUCUAAUGGGAUAGUACAUGGUUACUUACUGAGUAGCAAGCUCAUACCUCUCCUGUUGUUUUCUUUAUUUAUUUCAGAUAAUUAAGACGAUUUGGAGCGGAAAAGAGUGAAUGAAAAUUGGAGUGAAAGCAUAGUUAUAGGGACUCUUAGAAGUAUCUAUGUUAAUAUGUUUGGGUUGUAAUAUUGCAAACUCAAGUAUUUGAUUAGAUGCUCCGUAUUUGCUUCUUUAUGAUUAGUCAAUAAACUUGAUCGGAUUUGGUUUUAUUUCAUAAAAUAAUAUUGUUAUCAUAGGCUGCGUGUUAUUGUGGGCAGCAACCUACAAUAGCACGGCCAUGUCAUGAGCCGGAUCUGGGAUGCAAAACACAAAAAAAAAAAA